Molecule: long non-coding RNA, 717 nt
Filed under: Carassius auratus (goldfish)
Lineage: Eukaryota; Metazoa; Chordata; Actinopteri; Cypriniformes; Cyprinidae
Description: lncRNA (ENSCARG00000053294.1)
Source: RNAcentral
AUUUAUUUGUUUAUUGAUUGAUUGAGUGAUUUAUGUAUGUAUUAACAUAAGCAUGCUUUAUUUUUAAUUAUUUAUAAAUAAACAUAAAGAAAUACAAAAAAAUAAAUAAAUAUAUAUAUAUAAUAAUUCAGACUUAGGUUUAUUUGCAAAAAAAAACAAAAAACAUGUCAGAUUAUUGUCCUAAAUACAGAUGAUGCUUGGUAUUUAUUGUCUUAAUGUUUGUUCUUAAGUCACAGAAAGAGACCCCACCAGCACCAUCUACUAAUGUGAGCCAUUUAAUUUGCAUUACAUAUUUUAUUGCUUUUAUAAUAUUUCUACCUUUUGCAUCAUUUCAUUUCAUUCAUAAGCAAAAAGUUGGUUUUGAGGUGUGAUUAGUUGACAAUAAAGCAUUAUAGAAUAAUAAUUAAAAAAAGUAUACUCGCCUGCUGUUUUGUGAUUGAAAUGAAACAAACUGCACUCUUUUCUGAGGUACAGGAAGCACCCAAGGCACCCCCUCCUCCUCCCCCAGCGCCACCUAAGAUGGAAAGCAAAGCAGAGCCGGCGGUGAAGAAAGAGGACACGUCUGCAACAAAAGCAGCCGCGGCAGCUGCAACAAAAGCAGAGGGAUCUGCCAAGAGCAAAACUAAAGACAGUGCAUUAGGCAAACUCUUCCGUUCAAAGCCUGUUGUGGUGGAAGAGAAAAAGCCGGUUGAGGUGCAGGUAAAUACAUUCAGCUGA